This 357-nucleotide non-coding RNA is filed under the name Prochlorococcus marinus subsp. pastoris str. CCMP1986. The record is from RNAcentral. Lineage: Bacteria; Bacillati; Cyanobacteriota; Cyanophyceae; Synechococcales; Prochlorococcaceae.
UCCAUUUGAGCUGCACCAGUGAUCAUGUUUUUCACAUAAUCAGCGUGACCUGGACAGUCAACGUGUGCAUAAUGUCUUUCGGCUGUUUCGUAUUCAACGUGUGCAGUAUUAAUUGUAAUACCACGCUCUCUUUCUUCUGGAGCACCAUCGAUGUCUCCAUAGUCUUGAGCUUGUGCUUGACCUUUUUUAGCUAAAACAUUAGUAAUAGCAGCAGUCAGGGUUGUUUUUCCAUGAUCAACGUGGCCAAUAGUACCUAUGUUGACAUGUGGUUUGUUCCUUUCGAACUUCUCGCGAGCCAUUUGAAUUAAAGAAUCGAGGGUUAAAGAGUGUUUAGUUUAGAGAUCAGGAGUUGCCCUG